Molecule: ribosomal RNA, 539 nt
Filed under: uncultured organism
Description: bacterial SSU rRNA
Rfam family: Bacterial small subunit ribosomal RNA
Source: RNAcentral
ACACGUAUGGACCUGCCCCAAACUCAGUGCAUACAUCUAGAAAUAAGUGCUACUAGCGGAUAGUCCCGCAAGGGUAAAGAUCAUCGGUUUGGGAUGGGCCUGCGUACUAUCAGCUAGUAGGUAAGGUACUGGCUUACCAAUGCUAUGACGGUUAACUGGUCUGAGAGGAUGAUCAGUCGCGAUGGGACUAGAGACACGGCCCAUACUCCUACGGGAGGCAGCAGUAAGGAAUCUUCCACAAUGGACGAAAGUCUAGAUGGAGCAACACCGCGUGAUCGAUGCCGCCUUUAGGGUUAUAAAGAUCUUAUCUGAGAGAAGAACUCUGACGGUAUCUUAGGAAUAAGCACCGGCUAACUCCGUGCCAGCAGCCGCGGUAAUACGGAGGGUGCAAGCGUAACCCGGAAUCAUUGGGCGUAAAGCGUCCGCAGGCGGUUUGUAAAGUAAGAUGUUAAAUUAUCCAGCUCAACUGGAACUCUAUGUCUUAAACUAGGCAACUAGAGUAUUACAGAGGUGUGCCGAAUUCUGUGUGUAGGGGUAAA